RNAcentral lists this ribosomal RNA (253 nucleotides) under uncultured bacterium. RNAcentral's name for it is "partial 16S ribosomal RNA". It matches the Rfam family "Bacterial small subunit ribosomal RNA", at positions 524 to 776 of the family's 1533-position model. The record is from RNAcentral.
UACGUAGGGGGCAAGCGUUGUCCGGAAUCAUUGGGCGUAAAGAGCGCGUAGGCGGUCCGGUAAGUCCGCUGUGAAAGUCAAGGGCUCAACCCUUGAAUGCCGGUGGAUACUGUCGGGCUAGAGUACGGAAGAGGCGAGUGGAAUUCCUGGUGUAGCGGUGGAAUGCGCAGAUAUCAGGAGGAACACCAAUAGCGAAGGCAGCUCGCUGGGACGUUACUGACACUGAGGCGCGAAAGCGUGGGGAGCGAACAGG